This 464-nucleotide ribosomal RNA is filed under the name uncultured bacterium. RNAcentral describes it as "bacterial SSU rRNA". It matches the Rfam family "Bacterial small subunit ribosomal RNA", at positions 917 to 1382 of the family's 1533-position model. The record is from RNAcentral.
GGGCCCGCACAAGCAGUGGAGUAUGUGGUUUAAUUCGAAGCAACGCGAAGAACCUUACCAGGGUUUGACAUCUACCGAACCCCGUGGAGACACGGGGGUGCUUUUCGGAGAACGGUAAGACAGGUGGUGCAUGGUUGUCGUCAGCUCGUGUCGUGAGAUGUUGGGUUAAGUCCCGCAACGAGCGCAACCCUUAUGUUUAGUUGAUACGUUAAGAUCACUCUAUACAGACUGCCGUUGACAAAACGGAGGAAGGUGGGGACGACGUCAAAUCAUCAUGCCCUUUAUGUCCUGGGCUACACACGUACUACAAUGGCGGCCAUACAACGGGAAGCGAAGGCGCGAGCCGGAGCAAAUCCUUUAAAAGCCGCCUCAGUUCAGAUCGCAGGCUGCAACCCGCCUGCGUGAAGUCGGAAUUGCUAGUAAUCGCGGAUCAGCAUGCCGCGGUGAAUACGUUCCCGGGCCUU